CCUACGGGAGGCAGCAGUGAGGAAUAUUGGUCAAUGGACGAGAGUCUGAACCAGCCAAGUAGCGUGAAGGAUGACUGCCCUAUGGGUUGUAAACUUCUUUUAUAUGGGAAUAAAAUGUUCCACGUGUGGGAUUUUGUAUGUACCAUAUGAAUAAGGAUCGGCUAACUCCGUGCCAGCAGCCGCGGUAAUACGGAGGAUCCGAGCGUUAUCCGGAUUUAUUGGGUUUAAAGGGAGCGUAGGUGGAUUGUUAAGUCAGUUGUGAAAGUUUGCGGCUCAACCGUAAAAUUGCAGUCGAAACUGACAGUCUUGAGUACAGUAGAGGUGGGCGGAAUUCGUGGUGUAGCGGUGAAAUGCUUAGAUAUCACGAAGAACUCCGAUUGCGAAGGCAGUUCACUGGACUGCAACUGACACUGAGGCUCGAAAGUGUGGGUAUCAAACAGGAUUAGAUACCCGUGUAGUC
Molecule: ribosomal RNA, 460 nt
Filed under: uncultured bacterium
Lineage: Bacteria
Description: partial 16S ribosomal RNA
Rfam family: Bacterial small subunit ribosomal RNA
Source: RNAcentral